Molecule: ribosomal RNA, 508 nt
Filed under: uncultured bacterium
Lineage: Bacteria
Description: partial 16S ribosomal RNA
Rfam family: Bacterial small subunit ribosomal RNA
Source: RNAcentral
GACGAACGCUGGCGGCGUGCCUAAUACAUGCAAGUCGAACGCUUCUUUCCUCCCGAGUGCUUGCACUCAAUUGGAAAGAGGAGUGGCGGACGGGUGAGUAACACGUGGGUAACCUACCCAUCAGAGGGGGAUAACACUUGGAAACAGGUGCUAAUACCGCAUAACAGUUUAUGCCGCAUGGCAUAAGAGUUAAAGGCGCUUUCGGGUGUCGUUGAUUGAUGGACCCGCGGUGCAUUAGCUAGUUGGUGAGGUAACGGCUCACCAAGGCCACGAUGCAUAGCCGACCUGAGAGGGUGAUCGGCCACACGGGGACUGAGACACGGCCCAGACUCCUACGGGAGGCAGCAGUAGGGAAUCUUCGGCAAUGGACGAAAGUCUGACCGAGCAACGCCGCGUGAGUGAAGAAGGUUUUCGGAUCGUAAAACUCUGUUGUUAGAGAAGAACAAGGACGUUAGUAACUGAACGUCCCCUGACGGUAUCUAACCAGAAAGCCACGGCUAACUACGUG